This 898-nucleotide long non-coding RNA is filed under the name Rattus norvegicus (Norway rat). RNAcentral's name for it is "long non-coding RNA NONRATT011712". Lineage: Eukaryota; Metazoa; Chordata; Mammalia; Rodentia; Muridae. The record is from RNAcentral.
AAAAGAAAGCAAGCUGGGGAGGAAAGGGUUUAUUCAGCUUACACUUCCUCAUCGCUGUUAACCACCAGAAGAAGUCAGGACUGGAACUCACACAGGCAGGAAGCAGGAGCUGAUGCAGAGGCCAUGGAGAGAUGUCACUUACUGGCUUGCUUCUCAUGGCUUGCUCGGCCUGCUUUGUUAUAGAACUCAGAACUGCCAGCCCAGGGGUGGCCCCACCCACCGUGGGCUGGGCCCUCCCUAUCAGCCACUAAAUAAAAAACAUGCCUUACAGCUGGAUCUUAAGGAGGCAUCUCCUCAGUUGAAGUUCCUUCCUUUCAGAUGACUCUAGUUUAUGUCAAGUUGACAUAACACUGUUCAGUACAUGUAAGCUCCUCAAAAGACAUGAGUUAAAAAGGAUGUGGGGUUUAUGAACAUGUUUUUAAAAAGUAAGAGGACAUUUAGAACAGCUGGUGCUGGAGGGAGCCCCGUGGUUCGGAGUUCAUGCUGCUCUUACAUAGGACAGUUCGGUCCCCAGCAUCCACAUAGUUCAUGACUGCCUGUAACUCCAGCUCGUCUGGCACUCUGUUUUGGACUCUAUGGGCACCUGCACAAAUACACAUGACUACACCUAAACAUAAUUAAAAAUAAUAAAAAUUGGGGCUGGAAAAAUGGCUCCUUGAUUAAGAGCACUGACUGCCCUUCCAGAGGACCAGGUUCUGUACCCAGCACCCACAUGGUGGCUCACCACGGUCUGUGACCCUAAGAUCUGACAUCCUCACCCAGACAUGCGUGCAGGCAAAACACCAGUGCACAGAAAGUAAGAGGUAACAAUGAACAACAAUAAACAAAAAAAUAAUAAAAAACCUAGAACAUUAUACUAGCGUAUUAGAGAGUUUUGAUUAAAAAAUAAACAAAAGAA